CGCUGGCGGCGUGCCUAAUACAUGCAAGUCGAACGGUCUUUCUAUGGAAGCUUGCUCCACUGAGAAGAUAGUGGCGAACGGGUGAGUAACACGUGGGUAACCUGCCCAUAAGAGGGGGAGUAACAUCCGGAAACGGGUGCUAAUACCGCAUAGUUUUCUUGAUCGCAUGAUCGGGAAAGGAAAGACGGCCUUUGUGCUGUCGCUUAUGGAUGGACCCGCGGCGUAUUAGUUAGUUGGUGAGGUAACGGCUCACCAAGACGAUGAUACGUAGCCGACCUGAGAGGGUGAUCGGCCACAUUGGGACUGAGACACGGCCCAAACUCCUACGGGAGGCAGCAGUAGGGAAUCUUCCGCAAUGGACGAAAGUCUGACGGAGCAACGCCGCGUGAGUGAAGAAAAGGGUUUUCGGAUCGUAAAACUCUGUUGUCAGAGAAGAACAAGUUGGAGAGUAACUGCUCCAGCCUUGACGGUAUCUGACCAGAAAGCCACGGCUAACUACGUGCCAGCAGCGGC
RNAcentral lists this ribosomal RNA (513 nucleotides) under uncultured bacterium. Its description in RNAcentral is "bacterial SSU rRNA". It matches the Rfam family "Bacterial small subunit ribosomal RNA", at positions 34 to 518 of the family's 1533-position model. The record is from RNAcentral.